CCUACGGGAGGCAGCAGUGAGGAAUAUUGGUCAAUGGGCGCGAGCCUGAACCAGCCAAGUCGCGUGAGGGAUGACGGUCCUACGGAUUGUAAACCUCUUUUGCCGGGGAGCAAGCGUGCGUUCGUGAACGCGCGUCGAGAGUACCCGGAGAAAAAGCAUCGGCUAACUCCGUGCCAGCAGCCGCGGUAAUACGGAGGAUGCGAGCGUUAUCCGGAUUUAUUGGGUUUAAAGGGUGCGUAGGCGGGAUGCCAAGUCAGCGGUAAAAAUGCGGUGCUCAACGCCGUCGAGCCGUUGAAACUGGCGUUCUUGAGUGGGCGAGAAGUAUGCGGAAUGCGUGGUGUAGCGGUGAAAUGCGUAGAUAUAUGGAAGAACACCAGUGGCGAAGGCGGCCGCCUGGCCUGUUACUGACGCUGAGGCACGAAAGCGUGGGGAGCAAAUAGGAUUAGAUACCCUUGUAGUC
Molecule: ribosomal RNA, 460 nt
Filed under: uncultured bacterium
Lineage: Bacteria
Description: partial 16S ribosomal RNA
Rfam family: Bacterial small subunit ribosomal RNA
Source: RNAcentral